Molecule: ribosomal RNA, 1315 nt
Filed under: human gut metagenome
Description: bacterial LSU rRNA
Rfam family: Bacterial large subunit ribosomal RNA
Source: RNAcentral
AGCACGGGAGACAGAGCACCGGGUGCUAACGUCCGGACUCAAGAGGGAAACAACCCAGACCGCCGGCUAAGGUCCCUAAUAUUGACUAAGUGGAAAACGAAGUGGAAAGGCUAAGACAGUCAGGAAGUUGGCUUAGAAGCAGCCAUCCUUCAAAGAAAGCGUAAUAGCUCACUGAUCGAGUCUUUCUGCGCGGAAGAUGUAACGGGGCUAAGUCAAUAACCGAAGCCGCGGAUUCACACUUGUGUGUGAGUGGUAGGGGAGCGUUCUGUAAGCCUGCGAAGGUGACUCGUAAGGGUUGCUGGAGGUAUCAGAAGUGCGAAUGCUGACAUGAGUAACGUUAAAGCGGGUGAAAAGCCCGCUCGCCGUAAGCCCAAGGUUUCCUGCUCUACGUUCAUCGGAGCAGGGUGAGUCGGCCCCUAAGGUGAGGCUGAGAAGCGUAACUGAUGGGAACAAGGUUAAUAUUCCUUGACCACCGCUGAAUGCGAAGGGGGGACGGAGUAUUGAAGAUCAUCCGGGUGUUGGAUAUCCCGGUUUGCGAGCGUAGGAGGCUGACAGGCAAAUCCGUCAGCGAAUCUCCGAGGCGAAGCAUCGAGCUCUCUUUUGAGCGAAGUGAUUGGAUGUGCUUCCAGGAAAAGCCUCUAAGCUCCAGUUCAGCGGGACCGUACCGCAAACCGACACUGGUGGGCGAGCUGAAUAUGCUCAGGCGCUUGAGAGAACUCAGGAGAAGGAACUCGGCAAAUUGACACCGUAACUUCGGGAUAAGGUGUGCCUUUGUAGCGUGGAGGGAGAAACACCCCGAGCGCGAAGAGGUCUCAGAUAAUCGGUGGCUGCGACUGUUUAUUAAAAACACAGCACUCUGCAAAGACGAAAGUCGACGUAUAGGGUGUGAUGCCUGCCCGGUGCUGGAAGAUUAAUUGAUGGGGUGCAAGCUCCUGAUCGAAGUCCCAGUAAACGGCGGCCGUAACUAUAACGGUCCUAAGGUAGCGAAAUUCCUUGUCGGGCAAGUUCCGACCUGCACGAAUGGCAUAACGAUGGCCACACUGUCUCCUCCUGAGACUCAGUGAAGUUGAAGUGUUUGUGAUGAUGCAAUCUCCCCGCGGCUAGACGGAAAGACCCCAUGAACCUUUACUGUAGCUUUGCAUUGGACUUUGAACCGAUCUGUGUAGGAUAGGCGGGAGCCUGUGAAACCACAACGCCAGUUGUGGCGGAGGCGUCCUUGAAAUACCGCCCUGAUUUGUUUGAGGUUCUAACCUGGGACAGUCAUCCUGUCCGGGGACCGUGCAUGGUAGGCAGUUUGACUGGGGCGGUCUCCUCC